RNAcentral lists this ribosomal RNA (215 nucleotides) under uncultured bacterium. RNAcentral's name for it is "partial 16S ribosomal RNA". It matches the Rfam family "Bacterial small subunit ribosomal RNA", at positions 1286 to 1500 of the family's 1533-position model. The record is from RNAcentral.
UCUCAGUUCGGACUGUAGGCUGCAACUCGCCUACACGAAGUUGGAAUUGCUAGUAAUCGUGGAUCAGCAUACUACGGUGAAUACGUUCCCGGGCCUUGUACACACCGCCCGUCAAACCAUGAGAGUUGGCAACACCCGAAGUCGGUAGUCUAACCGCAAGGAGGACGCCGCCGAAGGUGGGGUUGAUGAUUAGGGUUAAGUCGUAACAAGGUAAC